UUGAACGCUGGCGGCAUGCCUUACACAUGCAAGUCGCACGGCAGCGCGGACUUCGGUCUGGCGGCGAGUGGCGAACGGGUGAGUAAUACAUCGGAACGUACCCUGUUGUGGGGGAUAACUAGUCGAAAGAUUAGCUAAUACCGCAUACGACCUGAGGGUGAAAGUGGGGGACCGGAAACGGCCUCAUGCAGCAGGAGCGGCCGAUGUCUGAUUAGCUAGUUGGUGGGGUAAAGGCCCACCAAGGCGACGAUCAGUAGCUGGUCUGAGAGGACGAUCAGCCACACUGGGACUGAGACACGGCCCAGACUCCUACGGGAGGCAGCAGUGGGGAAUUUUGGACAAUGGGGGCAACCCUGAUCCAGCAAUGCCGCGUGUGUGAAGAAGGCCUUCGGGUUGUAAAGCACUUUUGUCCGGAAAGAAAUCGCGCUGGUUAAUACCUGGCGUGGAUGACGGUACCGGAAGAAUAAGCACCGGCUAACUACGUG
Molecule: ribosomal RNA, 485 nt
Filed under: uncultured bacterium
Lineage: Bacteria
Description: partial 16S ribosomal RNA
Rfam family: Bacterial small subunit ribosomal RNA
Source: RNAcentral